UCCGUUUGGUUUCUUUUAAGUUGUUUCUAUGCUACCCUGUGGUACGCCAACCAGAAAUCAGAAGCUACACAACGAAUGUUCAGCAGAGAGGUGUUUGUGACUGGGACACACCUAUUUGUUACAUCACAGCAAGAACUGAGUUAGGGAACUGGGCGGGGGGCCAGACUGCAUGAAUGAGCCCAACGGUUUCAGGACCAAUCUGCUCCCGAAAUGCUCUAUCUGGGGCUCCUACCUUGUCCCCAUGACCCUGCCACGACACCCACAAAGCAGAGAUGUAGAGUCCAGCCACUGCCUCAGUAACAACCACCCAUCGACGCCCAGGAAACCUGAGAAUGGGCACCUCAUCACACUGGGAGAAACCUCCCCUUCUCCACGAUCACUGCCAAAAGAAACCGAAGGGCCUGUGAAUCCUCUCCAUAUCCAUCGGUUUCCACCUUCCAAACAUCAAGUUCAUGUACCUAACAAGGAGGACCAGGACAGCCUGCAUACAGAAGAAAUGUCCCAUUCCCAAUGCCAUGAGCUCCUUUGUGUCAAUCACUGGGCUACAGCACUGGAGAAGGUAGCAUAUGAAACAGAUGCUUCUACUGAGAAUACACUAACAAUUCAAAUAAACAAAAAGGCUUUCUGAGGAUGGAGAGGAGCAGGACUCACCAUAUGCCACCACUUACUGGACAAUUUACAUGUGAUCUCAUUGGAGACUUACGAUUCUACCGAAAACAUUCACAGGGUUUCCAUUUUACAAAUGAGAAAACUGAACCUAUGCUGUGAUUACCUCACAAUUAUUAGACUGCAAGUCCACACUGCUUCUAUUCCAACAGGCAAACCCACUAGACAUAACCCCUCUCCACCACCAUGAUCCUGGCAGACAUCAAUAAUCAAUCAUGACAUACUCUUUCACUGAAUGUGGAUCAAGCCUCAAGAUUUUUCUCAACCUAACAUUUAAGAGCAUUGUCAAAUAAUCAACCACCAUAAUACAAACUUCUCUGACACCCACCCACUCAUCAAACCACACAACAGUGAACCAAAUGAAUUUUGAGAAUGUGAGUUUAUAUUCAAUUCAUGAUCGUGAGCUUCUCCAGAACGCCCUGUAGCUCCGGAAGAGAAGUAGAAAAACUACACACUGGGAAUGGAUAACAUAACCAAGAUUAAGGGAGAAGAGAAAAUAUACGAUUUAGGGAUUGUUAAGGUGUUAAGAAGAAGAAUCACCAGGCUAACCAAAGUGGGGAAAAAGAACGAACAAAAAAAAAAAAUUUAGGAAACAUGGAAGCAUGCCUGAGCUAGUGAAGAAUUCAGGAGCUUACAGACAUGAGCGAUAGCUCGUCAGGCCAUUGAUGAAAAGUCAAACAAGUGAGUGGCACAGUACACGGUUAAUCAGGAGCAUUUUUGGCAAGAUACCUGGGAUCAAAACGCGUGAGCACCUGAAUCAGAGAGCAGCACAGAGAGG
Non-coding RNA from Callithrix jacchus (white-tufted-ear marmoset), 1444 nucleotides. Lineage: Eukaryota; Metazoa; Chordata; Mammalia; Primates; Cebidae. The record is from RefSeq and is a predicted model, not a curated record.